AGAGAAUAGUUUAUAUAAAAUUUUAAUUUUGGAGAUUAAUGAAAGAUUUAAUCUUUCUCUGAA
This 63-nucleotide transfer RNA is filed under the name Discolomatidae sp. 1 ACP-2013. RNAcentral's name for it is "tRNA-Pro". Lineage: Eukaryota; Metazoa; Arthropoda; Insecta; Coleoptera; Discolomatidae. The record is from RNAcentral.